This 902-nucleotide ribosomal RNA is filed under the name Rathkea octopunctata. Its description in RNAcentral is "12S ribosomal RNA". It matches the Rfam family "Bacterial small subunit ribosomal RNA". The record is from RNAcentral. Lineage: Eukaryota; Metazoa; Cnidaria; Hydrozoa; Anthoathecata; Rathkeidae.
UAUCUUUUGAUUUUGGAGAAAUGAAAGCGCAGGAAUUGUUUAUACAUGUUAGUAUAAGCGCAUAAGUGAGUAUUAGGUGACAUAGUCACUUUUACAUCAGGUUUGAGAAUGUAAAUUAUUCUAAAACCUAAGACGUAUAGCUUUAGCCACGUUAUUACUGAAACAAAGAAUAACCAUCGGCAGCAGUAAAGAGUAUUGUACAAUUAGCGUUAGCUAGAUACAGGAAUUCCUUUGAGUCUUGUCUAAUCAUGUGCCAGCAGACGCGGUUAAACCUGAGAGACUAGUUUUCACACAUAAAUAGGAUGGUGCGUAGGCUUUUUAAAAAAGGUAAAUCAAAAAUUCUUGAUUUGGUUAAAUAAACAAGAUUUAGUAGUUCUAUUAAAAAGUUAGUUUACCUUUAAGCUAAAGCACUAAAAGUAGAGAAGUCAACAGGAUUAGAUACCCUGGUAGCUCUACUCGUAAAUCAAUAACAUUCACCUGAACAGUACAUUAAAGUAAUGAAAAUCAAAAAUUUUGGCUGUUUAUUUUCUAAUUAGAGGAAUAUGUAGUUUAAUUCGAUAGUCCGCGAAAUACCUUACCUGUUUUUGAAAUUACAAGCACUGCAUGGUCGUCUUCAAUUUAGAUAUUUAAUCUAAAUUAAACCCUAAUCGGAUGAAGUCAGAUAGUAUGGUCUUUAUAAGCAGGGAUACUAUGUGUUACAAUGCCUAAAAUAAGUAAAUAUUAGAAUUGGUAUAAACUUGUAAAAGAAUAGAAAAGAGAAUUUAAUAGUAAUCGAAGGAAGAAGACCUCGAUGAAUAAGUUCAAAUAUGAGUACAAAUUGCCCGUCGCCUUUAUCAAUGAAUACCAAAGAUAGAGUAAGUCGUAACAUAGUGGGGGGAAGGGAACUUCUCCCUGAAGAUUAA